This 245-nucleotide ribosomal RNA is filed under the name uncultured bacterium. Its description in RNAcentral is "partial 16S ribosomal RNA". It matches the Rfam family "Bacterial small subunit ribosomal RNA", at positions 126 to 353 of the family's 1533-position model. The record is from RNAcentral.
UAGCCCUUCAGAGGGGGACAACAGUUGGAAACGACUGCUAAUACCGCAUACGAUCUAAUCUCGGCAUCGAGGAAAGAUGAAAGGUGGCCUCUAUUUAUAAGCUAUCACUGAAGGAGGGGAUUGCGUCUGAUUAGCUAGUUGGAGGGGUAACGGCCCACCAAGGCGAUGAUCAGUAGCCGGUCUGAGAGGAUGACCAGCCACACUGGAACUGAGACACGGUCCAGACUCCUACGGGAGGCAGCAUG